RNAcentral lists this transfer RNA (73 nucleotides) under Rattus norvegicus (Norway rat). It matches the Rfam family "tRNA". From Rfam's summary of the family: Transfer RNA (tRNA) molecules are approximately 80 nucleotides in length. Their secondary structure includes four short double-helical elements and three loops (D, anti-codon, and T loops). Further hydrogen bonds mediate the characteristic L-shaped molecular structure. tRNAs have two regions of fundamental functional importance: the anti-codon, which is responsible for specific mRNA codon recognition, and the 3' end, to which the tRNAs corresponding amino acid is attached (by aminoacyl-tRNA synthetases). tRNAs cope with the degeneracy of the genetic code in two manners: having more than one tRNA (with a specific anti-codon) for a particular amino acid; and 'wobble' base-pairing, i.e. permitting non-standard base-pairing at the 3rd anti-codon position. Lineage: Eukaryota; Metazoa; Chordata; Mammalia; Rodentia; Muridae. The record is from Rfam by way of RNAcentral.
GGAGAGAUGGCUCAGUGGUUAAGAGCACUCACCGCUCUUCCAGAGGACCUGAGUUCAAAUCCCAGCCACCCCA